Molecule: ribosomal RNA, 927 nt
Filed under: uncultured bacterium
Lineage: Bacteria
Description: bacterial SSU rRNA
Rfam family: Bacterial small subunit ribosomal RNA
Source: RNAcentral
AGAGUUUGAUCAUGGCUCAGGACGAACGCUGGCGGCGCGCCUAACACAUGCAAGUCGAACGGAGUUAUUUUCUUCACUCCGAGCUUUUUGCCAGUUAGCCGGAGCGGCAAUCGGUUUUGCCCAGCAUAAAAAGCAAAACCGAUUUAGGCUCAUAAAGUAAGACUAACACAGAGGGCAGAGAGUUGGGAGUGAAGAAAAUAACUUAGUGGCGAACGGGUGAGUAACGCGUGAGUAACCUGCCCUGGAGUGGGGGACAACAGUUGGAAACGACUGCUAAUACCGCAUAAGCCCACGGCCCGGCAUCGGGCUGAGGGAAAAGGAUUUAUUCGCUUCAGGAUGGACUCGCGUCCAAUUAGCUAGUUGGUGAGGUAACGGCCCACCAAGGCGACGAUUGGUAGCCGGACUGAGAGGUUGAACGGCCACAUUGGGACUGAGACACGGCCCAGACUCCUACGGGAGGCAGCAGUGGGGGAUAUUGCACAAUGGGGGAAACCCUGAUGCAGCGACGCCGCGUGGAGGAAGAAGGUUUUCGGAUUGUAAACUCCUGUCGUUAGGGACGAUAAUGACGGUACCUAACAAGAAAGCACCGGCUAACUACGUGCCAGCAGCCGCGGUAAAACGUAGGGUGCAAGCGUUGUCCGGAAUUACUGGGUGUAAAGGGAGCGCAGGCGGACCGGCAAGUUGGAAGUGAAAACUAUGGGCUCAACCCAUAAAUUGCUUUCAAAACUGCUGGCCUUGAGUAGUGCAGAGGUAGGUGGAAUUCCCGGUGUAGCGGUGGAAUGCGUAGAUAUCGGGAGGAACACCAGUGGCGAAGGCGACCUACUGGGCACCAACUGACGCUGAGGCUCGAAAGCAUGGGUAGCAAACAGGAUUAGAUACCCUGGUAGUCCAUGCCGUAAACGAUGAUUACUAGGUGUUGGAGGAUUG